GUAUAUGUUGCACUAAAACAUCCACGUACACGUGCAAAUUAAAAUACCAAUUGCAGUUUAUAGAGCACGAUUUGCGGCGGAUUAACAAUUACAAUUUUAGUACCCAGUUUAAUUUCAUUACAAACGUGAACUGAUUUAAUCACGAGAUGUGUGAGCGUCGUACUUAUUCUGCUGUAUUGAACGGGCACUGUUGAGGCUACAGACAUGUUCGUGGUCACGAACGUAGACGAUUUUUAUGCCAUGCUACGCAAAAAGACUGCAUCAAUAAUACGUCGUAUACGGGGGAGCACCAACGGUAUCCUUAAAAUGAUUCCCGACCGCACUGACAAGAAGACCAUCAACUCAUCGUGAUUCAAAACUGUUCAUGACCCCGUUUCAAGUUUUCGCAAGUGACCAUGGGUCAUGGAAUGAGUCGCUUCGUCUGAAGUUCAUUGCCGUCAGGGCGCACUAUGUGACAAUUGCUGUUAAACAUUUACCUACAAGUUAUUAAUAAAUUCGUGUUAAGCUACAAUAAUGUAUAUUUGUUUAAUUUAGUAUCAUUGUUGUAAUAAACGACAACCUACGUAGUUGUGUGGCUUGCACCGAUUUUCAUGGUAUCGCCAAAUAGCAACAGAGAUCUGGGGUCCCAGGAUCGAUUCCUGGCCCGAUCAAUGUAGAAACUAACUUUUCUAUAUUGUCUC
Molecule: long non-coding RNA, 680 nt
Organism: Hyposmocoma kahamanoa
Lineage: Eukaryota; Metazoa; Arthropoda; Insecta; Lepidoptera; Cosmopterigidae
Exons: 3
Source: RefSeq, a predicted model, not a curated record